CAGCCGCCGCGGGAAUACGUAGGGUGCAAGCGUUAAUCGGAAUUACUGGGCGUAAAGCGUGCGCAGGCGGUUAUAUAAGACAGAUGUGAAAUCCCCGGGCUCAACCUGGGAACUGCAUUUGUGACUGUAUAGCUAGAGUACGGCAGAGGGGGAUGGAAUUCCGCGUGUAGCAGUAAAAUGCGUAGAUAUGCGGAGGAACACCGAUGGCGAAGGCAAUCCCCUGGGCCUGUACUGACGCUCAUGCACGAAAGCGUGGGGAGCAAACAGGAUUAGAUACCCCCGUAGUCCCUGUCUCUUAUAC
This 301-nucleotide ribosomal RNA is filed under the name uncultured bacterium. RNAcentral describes it as "partial 16S ribosomal RNA". It matches the Rfam family "Bacterial small subunit ribosomal RNA", at positions 509 to 807 of the family's 1533-position model. The record is from RNAcentral.